CAGAGUUUAAAAACUCCAACCCAUGUUAACUUACCAAUGUUGCCUCGGCGGGACCUACCCUGAAGCGGCCUACCCCGAAGCAGGUUACCCUGAAGCGGGGUACCGUGAAGCUGGCCCGCCGGUGGAAUUCUCAACUAGUUAUUUUAAGUAAAUCUGAGAGUCUUAUUUUAAUAAGUCA
Molecule: unclassified non-coding RNA, 178 nt
Filed under: uncultured Ascomycota
Lineage: Eukaryota; Fungi; Ascomycota
Description: sequence contains ITS1
Source: RNAcentral